RNAcentral lists this transfer RNA (75 nucleotides) under Deltaproteobacteria bacterium RBG_13_65_10. Its description in RNAcentral is "tRNA-Cys". It matches the Rfam family "tRNA". Rfam says of the family: Transfer RNA (tRNA) molecules are approximately 80 nucleotides in length. Lineage: Bacteria; Deltaproteobacteria. The record is from RNAcentral.
GGCGGCGUAGCCAAGUGGUAAGGCAAAGGUCUGCAAAACCUUCAUACACCGGUUCGAAUCCGGUCGCCGCCUCCA